ACGUAGGGGGCAAGCGUUAUCCGGAAUUACUGGGUGUAAAGGGAGCGUAGACGGUACAGCAAGUCUGGAGUGAAAGGCUGGGGCCCAACCCCGGGACUGCUCUGGAAACUGUUAAACUGGAGUGCAGGAGAGGCAGGCGGAAUUCCUAGUGUAGCGGUGAAAUGCGUAGAUAUUAGGAGGAACACCAGUGGCGAAGGCGGCCUGCUGGACUGUAACUGACGUUGAGGCUCGAAAGCGUGGGGAGCA
Molecule: ribosomal RNA, 246 nt
Filed under: uncultured bacterium
Lineage: Bacteria
Description: partial 16S ribosomal RNA
Rfam family: Bacterial small subunit ribosomal RNA
Source: RNAcentral